RNAcentral lists this ribosomal RNA (243 nucleotides) under uncultured bacterium. Its description in RNAcentral is "partial 16S ribosomal RNA". It matches the Rfam family "Bacterial small subunit ribosomal RNA", at positions 15 to 248 of the family's 1533-position model. The record is from RNAcentral.
GAUCAUGGCUCAGGAUGAACGCUAGCUACAGGCUUAACACAUGCAAGUCGAGGGGCAGCAUUUCAGUUUGCUUGCAAACUGGAGAUGGCGACCGGCGCACGGGUGAGUAACACGUAUCCAACCUGCCGAUAACUCGGGGAUAGCCUUUCGAAAGAAAGAUUAAUACCCGAUAGUAUAAUGAAACCGCAUGGUCUUAUUAUUAAAGAAUUUCGGUUAUCGAUGGGGAUGCGUUCCAUUAGGCAG